CCUGCAUGUGAGUAUUCUGUAUUGUGGUGUACUCAUCAUCUCAAUAUUACUCAUUCUUCUCAUCAUUUCAACCCAUUCUGGAAAUAUCAGUAUGAUGAAAAGAGUUUCUGAAACUUUUUUUUCCCCCAAACAAGGGGAAGAUAAAGAAGAAAAAAAGAGGGGGAGGGGGGGUGGAGUUAAACCCUAUUAAAAAACAUGAAUUAUACUUUUGAAGCAGAAUUGGAGACAUGGAAGAAAAUCAAUUGUCUUCUGUUGCAUCUUCUGUCAGUUUUCUUCCACAUUUUCUCUUCCCCCCCCCUCCCCCCCUCUCUCUCUCUCUCUCUCGAGGGGAGGGGAGUUGAAAGCAGAAAUUAAUUUUCAACUUCGAAAAGCACCCAGAUUCGAGGAUGGUCUUGGAUCUUCAUGCCAUUGCCGCCUGGUCGGUUUCCUGUUUGCUUUGCAAACAUGUCAGAAGAAACGGCUAUGUGGAUGAGGGAAAGAUGAGCUAGCAGUUAAAAUCACUCCAAAUAAUAGCUCCCUUACCAAAUCAUUCAUUUCAUAAUCCUAUUUAUCCCUAAUUUAAUUCCACCUUCCAUUUAGCCUAUUAUUUAGCGCCAAUUGAACAGUGUGGCUACAUAUCAUUACUCUUCACCACGAAACACGUCUUUCCUCAGUGAAAUAAAAACCUACAAUUUGGGAAAAAUGAAAA
Molecule: long non-coding RNA, 688 nt
Filed under: Olea europaea subsp. europaea
Lineage: Eukaryota; Viridiplantae; Streptophyta; Magnoliopsida; Lamiales; Oleaceae
Source: RNAcentral